Molecule: ribosomal RNA, 446 nt
Filed under: uncultured bacterium
Lineage: Bacteria
Description: partial 16S ribosomal RNA
Rfam family: Bacterial small subunit ribosomal RNA
Source: RNAcentral
CCUACGGGAGGCUGCAGUCGAGAAUCAUUCACAAUGGGGGAAACCCUGAUGGUGCGACGCCGCGUGGGGGAAUGAAGGUCUUCGGAUUGUAAACCCCUGUCAUGUGGGAGCAAAUUAAAAAGAUAGUACCCCAAGAGGAAGAGACGGCUAACUCUGUGCCAGCAGCCGCGGUAAUACAGAGGUCUCAAGCGUUGUUCGGAAUCACUGGGCGUAAAGCGUGCGUAGGCUGUUUCGUAAGUCGUGUGUGAAAGGCGCGGGCUCAACCCGCGGACGGCACAUGAUACUGCGAGACUAGAGUAAUGGAGGGGGAACCGGAAUUCUCGGUGUAGCAGUGAAAUGCGUAGAUAUCGAGAGGAACACUCGUGGGGAAGGCGGGUUCCUGGACAUUAACUGACGCUGAGGCACGAAGGCCAGGGGAGCGAAAGGGAUUAGAUACCCGAGUAGUC